AGAAAGGCGAGGCUCCUGUGGACUAU
RNAcentral lists this non-coding RNA (26 nucleotides) under Cricetulus griseus (Chinese hamster). Lineage: Eukaryota; Metazoa; Chordata; Mammalia; Rodentia; Cricetidae. The record is from RNAcentral.